RNAcentral lists this transfer RNA (79 nucleotides) under Microbacterium phage Pumpernickel. RNAcentral describes it as "tRNA-Glu". It matches the Rfam family "tRNA". Rfam says of the family: Transfer RNA (tRNA) molecules are approximately 80 nucleotides in length. Their secondary structure includes four short double-helical elements and three loops (D, anti-codon, and T loops). Further hydrogen bonds mediate the characteristic L-shaped molecular structure. tRNAs have two regions of fundamental functional importance: the anti-codon, which is responsible for specific mRNA codon recognition, and the 3' end, to which the tRNAs corresponding amino acid is attached (by aminoacyl-tRNA synthetases). tRNAs cope with the degeneracy of the genetic code in two manners: having more than one tRNA (with a specific anti-codon) for a particular amino acid; and 'wobble' base-pairing, i.e. permitting non-standard base-pairing at the 3rd anti-codon position. The record is from RNAcentral. Lineage: Duplodnaviria; Heunggongvirae; Uroviricota; Caudoviricetes.
GGCGAAGUUACUCUGUUGGUUAGGGGUAACCAGGUUUUCACCCUGGGUAGGACGCGGGUUCGAUUCCCGUCUUCGUCAC